Helianthus annuus (common sunflower) is the source of this 1087-nucleotide long non-coding RNA. RefSeq lists it as uncharacterized. The record is from RefSeq and is a predicted model, not a curated record. The transcript has 2 exons. Lineage: Eukaryota; Viridiplantae; Streptophyta; Magnoliopsida; Asterales; Asteraceae.
CACAAGAUUUACACUAGAUAUCAUCAACAUCUCUAUAAAAGGAUUUUUGUGCAGACUCCAAAACACACACACACAUACAAAUUACCAAACACCCUCCUAAUUUCUUUUUAUACACUCACACAAAAAGAAAACACAGACUUUAUUCUAUGUUUCCCCCUCCCUCUCGAUUUUUCAUAUACAACAAACACAAACAUAACCCAAAAGAAACUCACAGAAAUUCCUUUCUUCAUAAACAAAACUCAACACCAGACAACAAACACACUCACACUUGAUAAGCUCUCACCUCUCCCUCUCGUCUGCAUAUGACCCGACACCGGCGACCGGAGAAAAUCCGGUGACGGUUCCUUUUUCCGGCAACACGCGACACCCCCUGUUACAGAUUCAACGGCCGGCCACCACACUUGGGUGGUGGCGCACGACGGUGGCAGAAUCGACAGAAGAGGAGAGAGAGAGAGAGCGGCAUCGGAGGGGGAGGGUAACGACGGAUGGCGGUGGAGCUCCGCAGCUGAUAUUGAUGAUGACGAGUUACGAUGAUCGACGGUGGUGACGUUUGGAUCUCCGACAGCCAUACGGGAGUGAUCGAAGAACGGCGGUGGUGGCCGAUGAUGGCCGUGAGCGACGUCGGAGACACCACCAGGCAGUGGUGGUGGCUGUGUUAAGCCAGUCCUUUUAUUUUUUUUCUUUUGUGUCGCUCCUUGUUCGAUUGAGUCACAAGUUGCGGGUCUGGUCAACCUGGUCAAAGAUAGUCAACGGGACUCGGUCCGGGUCAACAGAUGAGCUCGGGUCAGCGGUCAAAGUUAGUCAACUCAGUCAACGGCUCAGUUCGGUUCAGAGAUUGGUUCGGGUCGACUAGGUCAAACUGAGUCAACACGGUCAACCCGAGUCUACCCGGUUGACUCAGUCAACUCAACCGGUCAACUUAGUGAAACUGUCUGAUGUUUCGACGCGAAAGAAGUGGUAAAGAAUUUUAGUGGCGCGAGUUUUUAUGUCGUUUUAAUAAUUCUUAUGCUAUUAACGUGAACGAGCUCGAACCGAAUUAUUUAGCGACUAUUUAUUUCUUUAUUGGUACAAUUGACGUAAUUUGACA